Molecule: long non-coding RNA, 1073 nt
Organism: Lycium ferocissimum
Lineage: Eukaryota; Viridiplantae; Streptophyta; Magnoliopsida; Solanales; Solanaceae
Exons: 2
Source: RefSeq, a predicted model, not a curated record
UACUUUCCCAUUCGGUCUUAUUUCUUUCUCCUCGUUUUUUUUUUUUUUUUUUUUAAUGGAUGUCUUUUCCCUACAUAGGCUUAGUCUGAUGCUAAGAAUCAAUCCUCCAAGGUUCACGUGACUUUGGCAUCUUUAGGCUGUUUUGAAGCUGGAGUUUGUCGAUAAGCAAAAAGUCACUUAUCAGCUUUGUAGGGAUCUAAUAAAAUCUACAUUAAGAUCUAGAUCAUCAAAAUAUUUUAACACCGGUGCACUGACUUCCCUAGUUCCCCUUCAAAGCAUAUGGUAAUAAUUUCCUUUCUGCCGUGCCCAGAAAAUGCAGAGUGGGAUGGAAUACUAUAUACUCCUUUUGUGCUUCUGCACUUGUGUCCCUUUUGAACUGACUUUGUUUUCUUCAAGUCUUGCUUAAAGAGUUUCAGGAGCAUACGCCAUAGCUGCCAUGGUACUGAGCAGCGUAAGAUCAAGUGUUUUUCUCUCUCGGAAUGUUUUUCACAUAAGUAGAAUUUUUUACAAACUGAAAAACUUCUCUUCACCAAAUUAUUUAGAGUUGAACAGGCACCAUUUUAUAGCUGUCCACCCAAAACAAGAUUAACUUGAGGCUGCCAUGGUACUGAGCAGCGUAAGAUCAAGUGUUUUUCUCUCUCGGAAUGUUUUUCACAUAAGUAGAAUUUUUUACAAACUGAAAAACUUCUCUUCACCAAAUUAUUUAGAGUUGAACAGGCACCAUUUUAUAGCUGUCCACCCAAAACAAGAUUAACUUGAGGAGGAGGACUUUGAAGUGGAAAAGGUAGACCUGUUUCAUUUAUGUGUGAGAAACUCUGCUUGCAGCUAAUAGAAGAGAUCAACCCUCUAGAGUUCUUUUUUUUCCAACUUAAUAAAGUUGCACUAUGAUGUAUGUGGUGAGUAAUAUCUACGGUAACAGUCCUUGUUACUUGAGGAAAACCAAAAUCAGUAGCAAUGUAGCAUAUCCUGCUUUCCGAUCAUCAGAAGAGAAGAUUCAGAACUGUAUUUUCAGCAAAUACAAGCUUUUUUAAACAAUAAAACUGUGGCUGUACUGGUUAUGGCCUUAAAUUUCA